UACGUAGGGUGCAAGCGUUAAUCGGAAUUACUGGGCGUAAAGCGUGCGCAGGCGGUUAUGUAAGACAGGUGUGAAAUCCCCGGGCUUAACCUGGGAACUGCAUUUGUGACUGCAUAGCUAGAGUACGGCAGAGGGGGAUGGAAUUCCGCGUGUAGCAGUGAAAUGCGUAGAUAUGCGGAGGAACACCGAUGGCGAAGGCAAUCCCCUGGGCCUGUACUGACGCCCAUGCACGAAAGCGUGGGGAGCAAACAGG
This 253-nucleotide ribosomal RNA is filed under the name uncultured bacterium. Its description in RNAcentral is "partial 16S ribosomal RNA". It matches the Rfam family "Bacterial small subunit ribosomal RNA", at positions 524 to 776 of the family's 1533-position model. The record is from RNAcentral.